This 1345-nucleotide ribosomal RNA is filed under the name metagenome. RNAcentral describes it as "bacterial LSU rRNA". It matches the Rfam family "Bacterial large subunit ribosomal RNA", at positions 1561 to 2925 of the family's 2925-position model. The record is from RNAcentral.
ACGUGAUGUGGACUGAAAAUAAGUAGGGAAGCACGUGAGCUGACUGUCAAGAAAAGCCGCUAUUGUUUGCAGGAUACCCGUACCGUAAACCGACACAGGUGGAUGAGGAGAGAAUCCUAAGGCCGACGGGAGAAGCAUUGUUAAGGAACUCGGCAAAAUGACUCCGUAACUUCGGGAGAAGGAGUGCCAGUAAGAUGGCCGCAGAGAAUUGGCCCAAGCAACUGUUUAGCAAAAACACAGGUCUAUGCAAAACCGAAAGGUGAGGUAUAUGGGCUGACGCCUGCCCGGUGCUGGAAGGUUAAGGGGAGAGGUUAGCGCAAGCGAAGCUUUGAACUUAAGCCCCAGUAAACGGCGGCCGUAACGAUAACGGUCCUAAGGUAGCGAAAUUCCUUGUCGGGUAAGUUCCGACCCGCACGAAAGGCGUAAUGAUUUGGGCACUGUCUCAACAAUGCACCCGGUGAAAUUGAAAUACCAGUGAAGAUGCUGGUUACCUGCGCCAGGACGGAAAGACCCCAUGGAGCUUUACUCCAGCUUGAUACUGGGAUUCGGUAUUGCAUGUACAGGAUAGGUGGGAGGCUAGGAAAUGGUAACGCCAGUUGCCAUGGAGCCAAUGUUGGGAUACCACCCUUGCAGUACUGGGUUUCUAACCAGCAGCCGUGAUCCGGCUGGGGGACAAUGUCAGGUGGGGAGUUUGACUGGGGCGGUCGCCUCCGAAAGGGUAUCGGAGGCGCUCAAAGGUUCCCUCAGAAUGGUUGGAAACCAUUCGAAGAGUGCAAAGGCAGAAGGGAGCUUGACUGCGACACCGACGGGUGGAGCAGGUACGAAAGUAGGACUUAGUGAUCCGGUGGUAUAAAGUGGGAUUGCCAUCGCUCAACGGAUAAAAGCUACCCUGGGAUAACAGGCUUAUCACUCCCAAGAGUUCACAUCGACGGAGUGGUUUGGCACCUCGAUGUCGGCUCAUCGCAUCCUGGGGCUGAAGUAGGUCCCAAGGGUUGGGCUGUUCGCCCAUUAAAGCGGUACGCGAGCUGGGUUCAGAACGUCGUGAGACAGUUCGGUCCCUAUCCGGCGUGGGCGUAAGAUAUUUGAGAGGAGCUGUCCUUAGUACGAGAGGACCGGGAUGGACUGGCCGCUGGUGUAUCUGUUGUCUUACCAAAGGCAUAGCAGAGUAGCCAAGCCGGGAAGGGAUAAACGCUGAAGGCAUCUAAGCGUGAAGCCCCCCUCAAGAUGAGAUAUCUCAUAACGUCAAGUUAGUAAGACCCCUUGAAGACGACGAGGUAGAUAGGGCAGAGGUGGAAGUGUGGUAACACAUGGAGCUGACUGUUACUAAUAGGUCGAGGGCAUAAUC